Molecule: long non-coding RNA, 1419 nt
Filed under: Cricetulus griseus (Chinese hamster)
Lineage: Eukaryota; Metazoa; Chordata; Mammalia; Rodentia; Cricetidae
Description: lncRNA (ENSCGRG00015034752.1)
Source: RNAcentral
UCCACCAUUGGGAUUCAGGGUCUGGAGAACAAGCUCAUGGAAUACAAAACAGUAAGAGUCUGACAUGGUGGCUCAUAUCUGUAAUGACAGCACUUGAGACAAAAGCAGGAGGAUUGCCAUGAAUGCCAGACCAGCCUCAGCUACAAAUUGAAAUCCUGUCUUGGGGGGACAAAGUGGGGGACAAUGUUGAAGACAUGGUCACAAGCAGUAGUUAUUUCUCUUCCUGAAGAUCUGAGUUAGCUUCCAGCAUCUACAUCAGGCAGCUCACUACUGCCUGUAACUCCAGUUCUGUAGGCUCCAACAACUUCUGGUUCUGCACAUAUAUCAACCAAAAUGUGCUCCUUCCAAGCCAGGACCAAUGGAUCAGGUCACAUCGUGAUGGAUGACAAGGAUGUGGCUUAUGGGCUGCAGAUGCGUUUGCUGAAGACAGUAGGCGGAGGGUGGAAAGAGGCACUGAAAUGAGGCGAGUCCCUGCGGAGAGCCCAGCUUGACCAGCCGCACCUGACACCGAGCAGAGCGGCCCCGGAAAUGGUUCCGCACGCUCCUUGCGUCAGAAGGAGACGCUGUGCCUGGGUUGCAUCUGGGCCAUGCAGAAUCCCCAGAUUAGAUCCCGCCCCUGUUCCGCGCACGCGCAGUAAGGACUUAAGCAUCGGGUGGUUUCCGGCUGUAACAGAAAAGACUAAUCUACUCCGGAAAGACCUUUCUCUGGGCCCUGUGCUUGCAGAAAUUUGAGUCUGUUUACAUCGCGUCCUCACACGGGUUUCCAGUUGCAGAAUGGAGCGGUGCCUGACUGGGAAAAAGGAAGCCCUGGGCAAGACUAAGGAGCGGGUUGUAAAGAAGACAGUGCAUUGGGUGAACCUGAGAGAAGAACCCGCUCCUGGAGAUGUCAAAAACAAUUCUUCAAAAUAAAUACCAGUCACACAUAAAUUCGGAAGAGGAGGAACACUUGGUUUUACUAAGAAAAUAUACUUCAAAUACAAAACCCAAAGACAUUAAGGAAUAAAGCAAAAGAACAUUUAGGGGGCUGGAGAAACAAUUCAGUAGUUAAAAGGCACUGGGUGCUCUUGUAGACGACCCAGGUUCAAUCUUCAGCACCCACAUGGCAUCUCAUAACCGUCCAUAUCUCUAAUUUUAGGGACUCAACAUCGUUUGACCUUCUUGAGCAGAGGCAUGUACAUUGUGCCAUCUUACACGCAGAGACUUACAAAAUACCCAUACACAUAAAAUAUUUUAAUUUAAAGCUUUUAGACUAAUAGCUCAUGAAUUUAGAUGCAUUCUUACUAAAAUGUAAACGUGUCUAAAUCAACAAUAUAUAAAAAGGAAUACAACAUAGUUAAGUGUGGCUGAGUCUAGAGUGCAAGGUUGAUUUGACUUUCAAGAAUAAGAGACUGGAGUGAUGGUUCAGCAGUUAAGAGCGGU